RNAcentral lists this ribosomal RNA (440 nucleotides) under uncultured bacterium. RNAcentral's name for it is "partial 16S ribosomal RNA". It matches the Rfam family "Bacterial small subunit ribosomal RNA", at positions 338 to 795 of the family's 1533-position model. The record is from RNAcentral.
CCUACGGGUGGCAGCAGUGGGGAAUAUUGCACAAUGGGGGAAACCCUGAUGCAGCGACGCCGCGUGAGUGAAGAAGUAAUUCGUUACGUAAAGCUCUAUCAGCAGGGAAGAAAAUGACGGUACCUGAGUAAGAAGCCCCGGCUAACUACGUGCCAGCAGCCGCGGUAAUACGUAGGGGGCAAGCGUUAUCCGGAUUUACUGGGUGUAAAGGGAGCGUAGACGGCGACGCAAGUCUGAAGUGAAAUGCCAGUGCUCAACACUGGAACUGCUUUGGAAACUGUGUAGCUAGAGUGCAGGAGAGGUAAGUGGAAGUCCUAGUGUAGCGGUGAAAUGCGUAGAUAUUAGGAGGAACACCAGUGGCGAAGGCGGCUUACUGGACUGUAACUGACGUUGAGGCUCGAAGGCGUGGGGAGCAAACAGGAUUAGAUACCCCAGUAGUC